CUUGCGUGCUGUUCAUUUGCAUUUGGCCUGUGAUAUGAUGCCCUUAGAUCUUAAGUGUUUGAAGAGUAUGGGUCUAAUCUAUCAAGAAGAGGAUGGUAGUUUCUCGUUUAUUCCUACAGGUCCUAUUUUACAGCAGCGUGGCAAUCCAACCACGGGCACGGCUACCCCAUCCACGUCCAUUGCUCCUGGCCCUUCCUCAUCUCGCUCGAUAGAGGAGCAUCUAGACCGUCUCAAGGCUGCCAUAAUGACCCUCACCACUCAUGUUACCAGCAUGGAUGCCGCCUUGCUUGCUUUAUGUCAUCACUUUGGGAUUUCACCACCUAC
This 324-nucleotide unclassified non-coding RNA is filed under the name Hevea brasiliensis (rubber tree). The record is from RNAcentral. Lineage: Eukaryota; Viridiplantae; Streptophyta; Magnoliopsida; Malpighiales; Euphorbiaceae.